ACUGCUCAGUAACACGUGGGCAACUGCCCUAAGGAGAGGGAUAACACCAGGAAACUGGUGCUAAUACCGCAUAACUCAGCUCCAGCACAUGCUGGAGCUGACAAAGAUUUAUCGCCUUAGGAUGGGCCCGCGUCCCAUUAGCCAGUUGGUGAGGUAACGGCCCACCAAAGCUACGAUGGGUAGCCGACCUGAGAGGGUGAUCGGCCACAUUGGAACUGAGACACGGUCCAGACUCCUACGGGAGGCAGCAGUGGGGAAUAUUGCACAAUGGGGGAAACCCUGAUGCAGCAACGCCGCGUGAGCGAUGAAGGCCUUCGGGUUGUAAAGCUCUGUCUUCGCUGACGAUAAUGACGGUAAGCGAGGAGGAAGCCACGGCUAACUACGUGCCAGCAGCCGCGGUAAUACGUAGGUGGCAAGCGUUGUCCGGAAUUACUGGGCGUAAAGGAUGCGUAGGCGGCUUCUUAAGUGGGAUGUGAAAUGCCGGGGCUUAACCCCGGAUGUGCAUUCCAUACUGGGAGGCUAGAGUGCAGGAGAGGAAAGCGGAAUUCCCAGUGUAGCGGUGAAAUGCGUAGAGAUUGGGAGGAACACCAGUGGCGAAGGCGGCUUUCUGGACUGUAACUGACGCUGAGGCAUGAAAGUGUGGGGAGCAAACAGGAUUAGAUACCCUGGUAGUCCACACCGUAAACGAUGGGCACUAGGUGUAGGGGGCGUAGCCCUCUGUGCCGCAGUUAACACAUUAAGUGCCCCGCCUGGGGAGUACGAUCGCAAGAUUAAAACUCAAAGGAAUUGGCGGGGGAGCAC
This 801-nucleotide ribosomal RNA is filed under the name uncultured bacterium. RNAcentral's name for it is "bacterial SSU rRNA". It matches the Rfam family "Bacterial small subunit ribosomal RNA", at positions 102 to 924 of the family's 1533-position model. The record is from RNAcentral.